This 498-nucleotide ribosomal RNA is filed under the name Triticum aestivum (bread wheat). RNAcentral describes it as "partial small subunit ribosomal RNA". The record is from RNAcentral. Lineage: Eukaryota; Viridiplantae; Streptophyta; Magnoliopsida; Poales; Poaceae.
AUGUACAGGGCGUACUCGCAUCUCAGGUCGAAGAACUGGGUGGUGCGGUCAGGUUUGCAGUAUGGUACGGAUUUCGUCGCUUACCGUCAUCACCCCGCGCUCGUCCACUCGGAGUUUGCUGUGGUUGUGGUUCCGGAAGGAUCGGGGUUCGGCGGUAGGUGUGGCCGCCUGAAGGUGUGGUCUGAUCUACUGUGCGCGCUCCGAGCUUCUGGCAGUGUGGCCAAGACGCUGCUGGUUCUGACAAUCUCCAGCAAUGUCUGUGAACUGAGAUCCCCAGAUUGUUUGGAACGGUUGGUUGUUCAUGAAAGAACUAUUACAAGGUGGAUAGCCCAGCAGUGCCGUGAGCAGCGAUGUAAACCGUGCAGAGAAGAAGCAUAUACGGAAGAACAAGAUCACGCAGGAGAAACUGUAGUGUUCAACUAUUGGGGUCUAGUACUAGGUUUCACAGUUCUUUCUAGCCUGCUUGUAUACAAGCUGAGAUUCCGACAAUCAAGCUAA